RNAcentral lists this ribosomal RNA (614 nucleotides) under Salmonella enterica. Its description in RNAcentral is "bacterial SSU rRNA". It matches the Rfam family "Bacterial small subunit ribosomal RNA", at positions 908 to 1522 of the family's 1533-position model. Lineage: Bacteria; Pseudomonadati; Pseudomonadota; Gammaproteobacteria; Enterobacterales; Enterobacteriaceae. RNAcentral also lists the same sequence under 1 other name. The record is from RNAcentral.
AAUUGACGGGGGCCCGCACAAGCGGUGGAGCAUGUGGUUUAAUUCGAUGCAACGCGAAGAACCUUACCUGGUCUUGACAUCCACAGAACUUUCCAGAGAUGGAUUGGUGCCUUCGGGAACUGUGAGACAGGUGCUGCAUGGCUGUCGUCAGCUCGUGUUGUGAAAUGUUGGGUUAAGUCCCGCAACGAGCGCAACCCUUAUCCUUUGUUGCCAGCGAUUAGGUCGGGAACUCAAAGGAGACUGCCAGUGAUAAACUGGAGGAAGGUGGGGAUGACGUCAAGUCAUCAUGGCCCUUACGACCAGGGCUACACACGUGCUACAAUGGCGCAUACAAAGAGAAGCGACCUCGCGAGAGCAAGCGGACCUCAUAAAGUGCGUCGUAGUCCGGAUUGGAGUCUGCAACUCGACUCCAUGAAGUCGGAAUCGCUAGUAAUCGUGGAUCAGAAUGCCACGGUGAAUACGUUCCCGGGCCUUGUACACACCGCCCGUCACACCAUGGGAGUGGGUUGCAAAAGAAGUAGGUAGCUUAACCUUCGGGAGGGCGCUUACCACUUUGUGAUUCAUGACUGGGGUGAAGUCGUAACAAGGUAACCGUAGGGGAACCUGCGGUUGGA